AAGCACUUUAUACUGUGAAAACUGCGAAUGGCUCAUUAAAUCACCUUAUCGUUUAUUUGAUAGUACCUUCCUACAUGGAUACCUGUGGUAAUUCUAGAGCUAAUACAUGCUGAAAACCUCGACUUCGGAAGGGGUGUAUUUAUUAGAUAAAAAACCAAUGCCCUUCGGGGCUCCUUGGUGAAUCAUAAUAACUUAACGAAUCGCAUGGCCUUGCGCCGGCGAUGGUUCAUUCAAAUUUCUGCCCUAUCAACCUUCGAUGGUAGGAUAGUGGCCUACCAUGGUGGCAACGGGUAACGGGGAAUUAGGGUUCGAUUCCGGAGAGGGAGCCUGAGAAACGGCUACCACAUCCAAGGAAGGCAGCAGGCGCGCAAAUUACCCAAUCCCGACACGGGGAGGUAGUGACAAUAAAUACUGAUACGGGGCUCUUUUGGGUCUCGUAAUUGGAAUGAGUACAAUCUAAAUCCCUUAACGAGGAACAAUUGGAGGGCAAGUCUGGUGCCAGCAGCCGCGGUAAUUCCAGCUCCAAUAGCGUAUAUUAAAGUUGUUGCAGUUAAAAAGCUCGUAGUUGAACCUUGGGUCUGGCUGGCCGGUCCGCCUCACCGUGAGUACUGGUCCGGCUGGACCUUUUCCUUCUGGGGAAUCUCAUGGCCUUCACUGGGCCUGUGGGGGGGAAACCAGGACUUUU
RNAcentral lists this ribosomal RNA (685 nucleotides) under Aspergillus niger. Its description in RNAcentral is "SSU rRNA". It matches the Rfam family "Eukaryotic small subunit ribosomal RNA", at positions 67 to 753 of the family's 1831-position model. Lineage: Eukaryota; Fungi; Ascomycota; Eurotiomycetes; Eurotiales; Aspergillaceae. The record is from RNAcentral.